GACGAACGCUGGCGGCAUGCCUAAUACAUGCAAGUCGAGCGAACAUUAUAAGGAGCUUGCUUCUUAUAAUGUUAGCGGCGGAUGGGUGAGUAACACGUGGGCAACCUGCCCUGCAGAUGGGGAUAACUCCGGGAAACCGGGGCUAAUACCGAAUAAUCAGUUUGUUCGCAUGAACAAACUCUGAAAGACGGCUUACGCUGUCACUGCAGGAUGGGCCCGCGGCGCAUUAGCUAGUUGGUGGGAUAACAGCCUACCAAGGCGACGAUGCGUAGCCGACCUGAGAGGGUGAUCGGCCACACUGGGACUGAGACACGGCCCAGACUCCUACGGGAGGCAGCAGUAGGGAAUCUUCCACAAUGGAUGAAAGUCUGAUGGAGCAAUGCCGCGUGAGUGAAGAAGGUUUUCGGAUCGUAAAACUCUGUUGUG
RNAcentral lists this ribosomal RNA (426 nucleotides) under uncultured bacterium. RNAcentral's name for it is "bacterial SSU rRNA". It matches the Rfam family "Bacterial small subunit ribosomal RNA", at positions 28 to 440 of the family's 1533-position model. The record is from RNAcentral.